Molecule: long non-coding RNA, 1008 nt
Organism: Bradysia coprophila
Lineage: Eukaryota; Metazoa; Arthropoda; Insecta; Diptera; Sciaridae
Source: RefSeq, a predicted model, not a curated record
AAUUAUUUCUAACUCUCUAUAACACAUUUAAACCAGAACAAAAUGUGAAUGAGAACUCUCCGAAGGAAGUCGGCACCAAUUGUAUACCAUUGAUUUUAACUCUUCAAUUCUUCAUUUUACAGAUUCGAAACAGCACUCGCACUCACUUAAUUUAGUGGGAAAAGUGGCCAUGUUCGGGACUAUUAUUACCACAGUGGCACCGACUAAAAAAAAAAUUUGACCUCACAACAUUGGUCUCCAGCUUUGUCUAGGGAAAAUGGUUUGAAAAAAAAAAGAAUUUUGAUUGUUCAGACAACCAUUACCACUGGCUUUCGGAAAGUCUCAAUCGUUUCGCUGUACAUCCUGUAAUCAUCACAAACAUUUGUUGAAUGUGACUUCAUUGUAAUAAAUAAAGGAAUCUCCCAUGCCUUACAUAGAAGACACACUAUUUCUUGCCAUUAUAUACUGUGAUGUUCUUAACAUCCAUUUGCAUGUUUUACCAUUAAAGUACAAGAUUGUGAUUGUAUUUAGCAUUAAUUUUAUACAGUGACUCGAGUGACCCGUACUUAAGUGAUUUCCUUUUACUUUUAGAUCCACUGAAUUAUUACAUGGGCAUUGAAGCUGCAGAUUUUGAUCCUGAAGAUUUUGCAGAUACUAAUGACGGACACAGUAACUACAUGAAUUUGUUGUUGUCAGCAAAACGAUCGCUACAAAAAUACACACCGACCCUGCUGAAGGGCGCGCGCAUAGAUGAUGACAAAUUAAUAACGGAAGUUUUGGAACGAAAUAGACGAGGUCAGAAGAAAAUGAUCCAAAAAAUAGUCUGUCCGUUUUGUUUUACGUCGGUAGCGCCGCAAAAUAGAUCGGGAACGAGACGGUGGGAUAUUACCAAUUUUAAUCGGCAUUUAAUUAAGAUUCAUGGACAGCAUGUAUAAGUGGCGGCUGUGAAAAUUUAUUUCGAUCAAUAGAAGUUCUUCUGUUACACUAAUUGUAAGUUUUACUGUGUGAUAAAGUUUUGUUGUACUAAAA